RNAcentral lists this ribosomal RNA (577 nucleotides) under Kluyveromyces marxianus. Its description in RNAcentral is "eukaryotic LSU rRNA". It matches the Rfam family "Eukaryotic large subunit ribosomal RNA", at positions 37 to 654 of the family's 3401-position model. Lineage: Eukaryota; Fungi; Ascomycota; Saccharomycetes; Saccharomycetales; Saccharomycetaceae. The record is from RNAcentral.
UGCAUAUCCAAUAAGCUGAGGAAAAGAAACCAACCGGGAUUGCCUUAGUAACGGCGAGUGAAGCGGCAAAAGCUCAAAUUUGAAAUCUGGCGUCUUCGACGUCCGAGUUGUAAUUUGAAGAAGGUAACUUUGUAGCUGGUCCUUGUCUAUGUUCCUUGGAACAGGACGUCAUAGAGGGUGAGAAUCCCGUGUGGCGAGGAUCCCAGUUAUUUGUAAAGUGCUUUCGACGAGUCGAGUUGUUUGGGAAUGCAGCUCUAAGUGGGUGGUAAAUUCCAUCUAAAGCUAAAUAUUGGCGAGAGACCGAUAGCGAACAAGUACAGUGAUGGAAAGAUGAAAAGAACUUUGAAAAGAGAGUGAAAAAGUACGUGAAAUUGUUGAAAGGGAAGGGCAUUUGAUCAGACAUGGCGUUUGCUUCGGCUUUCGCUGGGCCAGCAUCAGUUUUAGCGGUUGGAUAAAUCCUCGGGAAUGUGGCUCUGCUUCGGUAGAGUGUUAUAGCCCGUGGGAAUACAGCCAGCUGGGACUGAGGAUUGCGACUUUUGUCAAGGAUGCUGGCGUAAUGGUUAAAUGCCGCCCGUCU